ACGAACGCUGGCGGCGUGCCUAAUACAUGCAAGUCGAACGCUUCUUUCCUCCCGAGUGCUUGCACUCAAUUGGAAAGAGGAGUGGCGGACGGGUGAGUAACACGUGGGUAACCUACCCAUCAGAGGGGGAUAACACUUGGAAACAGGUGCUAAUACCGCAUAACAGUUUAUGCCGCAUGGCAUAAGAGUGAAAGGCGCUUUCGGGUGUCGCUGAUGGAUGGACCCGCGGUGCAUUAGCUAGUUGGUGAGGUAACGGCUCACCAAGGCCACGAUGCAUAGCCGACCUGAGAGGGUGAUCGGCCACACUGGGACUGAGACACGGCCCAGACUCCUACGGGAGGCAGCAGUAGGGAAUCUUCGGCAAUGGACGAAAGUCUGACCGAGCAACGCCGCGCGAGUGAAGAAGGUUUUCGGAUCGUAAAACUCUGUUGUUAGAGAAGAACAAGGACGUUAGUAACUGAACGUCCCCUGACGGUAUCUAACCAGAAAGACACGGCUAACUACGUG
RNAcentral lists this ribosomal RNA (507 nucleotides) under uncultured bacterium. RNAcentral's name for it is "partial 16S ribosomal RNA". It matches the Rfam family "Bacterial small subunit ribosomal RNA", at positions 29 to 507 of the family's 1533-position model. The record is from RNAcentral.